GGAAUCUCUACGUUGCUUCUUCUAUUCUAUUAUUUUGACGGGAAUUAAUAGCAAAUUCUCUCUUCCUCUUUCUUCUUCUUCUUCUUCUUCUUCCUUUCUCGACUUUGUACGAAUUAAUAGCAAAUUCGCAUCAUCAAUCUCCGAUCAUCUUCCUUCCGUUCAUCUGCUUUCCAUGGUCUUCUCCCCGAUUCUGCGUUUUUCUCUGAUGAAAAUCUAUUGAAACUCCGAUCUCCAGUUCGUUUCUCGUAGGGAUUAUUACGACGAAAUCGCACCAAGCUGAUGAUGUAGAAGAAUCUCAUAGUCUCAGGGAUUCGAUUCAGUGUAAAAUCAACCAUCCUAGAUCGGAAAUGAAUUGAAUCGGCUGCAAAUAGCAACGGUUGGGUCUAGUUAUAUCUCUUGGGAGGUAAACUCAGGAACAUUUACAUGGUCAAAUCAUAGUCUGUCACAGAGGAAGAAGUCUCCCUUCCAUCUUCUUACGAAGCAACCUCUUCAGCAUUUCUUCGUCUGCUGACUGAGCGAGCACAAAUGUUUCUUCUUUAACUCCUGAUGACCACCAUAUCCUGAGUAAAACAGCCAGACAGCUUUUCUCUCAUCCAUGUUGCAUUGGAUGAUCAUGCGAAUAUGGUGGGUCUCCAUCUGAUCAUUUACAAUCAGUAUACCAGAUCAAAUCAGAAGAUGCAUACAAUCAAGGUUUGAGAAGAAGACCCUUAUUUAAACCCUUUUAAUGUUUUUACAUGUCACAAAACUAUUAAAGCUUGUGUGUGUUAUAUUAACCAACCCUCUUAUUAUUUCUAGAAUUAAAGUUGUAAUGAUUCUUGAUAUUAUUAUCAUCAGACCACAAGAAUUUAAUGGUGAAUAAACUAUUAUUCU
Molecule: long non-coding RNA, 870 nt
Organism: Camelina sativa (false flax)
Lineage: Eukaryota; Viridiplantae; Streptophyta; Magnoliopsida; Brassicales; Brassicaceae
Source: RefSeq, a predicted model, not a curated record